Molecule: ribosomal RNA, 2787 nt
Filed under: Escherichia coli
Lineage: Bacteria; Pseudomonadati; Pseudomonadota; Gammaproteobacteria; Enterobacterales; Enterobacteriaceae
Description: bacterial LSU rRNA
Rfam family: Bacterial large subunit ribosomal RNA
Source: RNAcentral
AGCGUACACGGUGGAUGCCCUGGCAGUCAGAGGCGAUGAAGGACGUGCUAAUCUGCGAUAAGCGUCGGUAAGGUGAUAUGAACCGUUAUAACCGGCGAUUUCCGAAUGGGGAAACCCAGUGUGUUUCGACACACUAUCAUUAACUGAAUCCAUAGGUUAAUGAGGCGAACCGGGGGAACUGAAACAUCUAAGUACCCCGAGGAAAAGAAAUCAACCGAGAUUCCCCCAGUAGCGGCGAGCGAACGGGGAGCAGCCCAGAGCCUGAAUCAGUGUGUGUGUUAGUGGAAGCGUCUGGAAAGGCGCGCGAUACAGGGUGACAGCCCCGUACACAAAAAUGCACAUACUGUGAGCUCGAUGAGUAGGGCGGGACACGUGGUAUCCUGUCUGAAUAUGGGGGGACCAUCCUCCAAGGCUAAAUACUCCUGACUGACCGAUAGUGAACCAGUACCGUGAGGGAAAGGCGAAAAGAACCCCGGCGAGGGGAGUGAAAAAGAACCUGAAACCGUGUACGUACAAGCAGUGGGAGCACGCUUAGGCGUGUGACUGCGUACCUUUUGUAUAAUGGGUCAGCGACUUAUAUUCUGUAGCAAGGUUAACCGAAUAGGGGAGCCGAAGGGAAACCGAGUCUUAACUGGGCGUUAAGUUGCAGGGUAUAGACCCGAAACCCGGUGAUCUAGCCAUGGGCAGGUUGAAGGUUGGGUAACACUAACUGGAGGACCGAACCGACUAAUGUUGAAAAAUUAGCGGAUGACUUGUGGCUGGGGGUGAAAGGCCAAUCAAACCGGGAGAUAGCUGGUUCUCCCCGAAAGCUAUUUAGGUAGCGCCUCGUGAAUUCAUCUCCGGGGGUAGAGCACUGUUUCGGCAAGGGGGUCAUCCCGACUUACCAACCCGAUGCAAACUGCGAAUACCGGAGAAUGUUAUCACGGGAGACACACGGCGGGUGCUAACGUCCGUCGUGAAGAGGGAAACAACCCAGACCGCCAGCUAAGGUCCCAAAGUCAUGGUUAAGUGGGAAACGAUGUGGGAAGGCCCAGACAGCCAGGAUGUUGGCUUAGAAGCAGCCAUCAUUUAAAGAAAGCGUAAUAGCUCACUGGUCGAGUCGGCCUGCGCGGAAGAUGUAACGGGGCUAAACCAUGCACCGAAGCUGCGGCAGCGACGCUUAUGCGUUGUUGGGUAGGGGAGCGUUCUGUAAGCCUGCGAAGGUGUGCUGUGAGGCAUGCUGGAGGUAUCAGAAGUGCGAAUGCUGACAUAAGUAACGAUAAAGCGGGUGAAAAGCCCGCUCGCCGGAAGACCAAGGGUUCCUGUCCAACGUUAAUCGGGGCAGGGUGAGUCGACCCCUAAGGCGAGGCCGAAAGGCGUAGUCGAUGGGAAACAGGUUAAUAUUCCUGUACUUGGUGUUACUGCGAAGGGGGGACGGAGAAGGCUAUGUUGGCCGGGCGACGGUUGUCCCGGUUUAAGCGUGUAGGCUGGUUUUCCAGGCAAAUCCGGAAAAUCAAGGCUGAGGCGUGAUGACGAGGCACUACGGUGCUGAAGCAACAAAUGCCCUGCUUCCAGGAAAAGCCUCUAAGCAUCAGGUAACAUCAAAUCGUACCCCAAACCGACACAGGUGGUCAGGUAGAGAAUACCAAGGCGCUUGAGAGAACUCGGGUGAAGGAACUAGGCAAAAUGGUGCCGUAACUUCGGGAGAAGGCACGCUGAUAUGUAGGUGAGGUCCCUCGCGGAUGGAGCUGAAAUCAGUCGAAGAUACCAGCUGGCUGCAACUGUUUAUUAAAAACACAGCACUGUGCAAACACGAAAGUGGACGUAUACGGUGUGACGCCUGCCCGGUGCCGGAAGGUUAAUUGAUGGGGUUAGCGCAAGCGAAGCUCUUGAUCGAAGCCCCGGUAAACGGCGGCCGUAACUAUAACGGUCCUAAGGUAGCGAAAUUCCUUGUCGGGUAAGUUCCGACCUGCACGAAUGGCGUAAUGAUGGCCAGGCUGUCUCCACCCGAGACUCAGUGAAAUUGAACUCGCUGUGAAGAUGCAGUGUACCCGCGGCAAGACGGAAAGACCCCGUGAACCUUUACUAUAGCUUGACACUGAACAUUGAGCCUUGAUGUGUAGGAUAGGUGGGAGGCUUAGAAGUGUGGACGCCAGUCUGCAUGGAGCCGACCUUGAAAUACCACCCUUUAAUGUUUGAUGUUCUAACGUUGACCCGUAAUCCGGGUUGCGGACAGUGUCUGGUGGGUAGUUUGACUGGGGCGGUCUCCUCCUAAAGAGUAACGGAGGAGCACGAAGGUUGGCUAAUCCUGGUCGGACAUCAGGAGGUUAGUGCAAUGGCAUAAGCCAGCUUGACUGCGAGCGUGACGGCGCGAGCAGGUGCGAAAGCAGGUCAUAGUGAUCCGGUGGUUCUGAAUGGAAGGGCCAUCGCUCAACGGAUAAAAGGUACUCCGGGGAUAACAGGCUGAUACCGCCCAAGAGUUCAUAUCGACGGCGGUGUUUGGCACCUCGAUGUCGGCUCAUCACAUCCUGGGGCUGAAGUAGGUCCCAAGGGUAUGGCUGUUCGCCAUUUAAAGUGGUACGCGAGCUGGGUUUAGAACGUCGUGAGACAGUUCGGUCCCUAUCUGCCGUGGGCGCUGGAGAACUGAGGGGGGCUGCUCCUAGUACGAGAGGACCGGAGUGGACGCAUCACUGGUGUUCGGGUUGUCAUGCCAAUGGCACUGCCCGGUAGCUAAAUGCGGAAGAGAUAAGUGCUGAAAGCAUCUAAGCACGAAACUUGCCCCGAGAUGAGUUCUCCCUGACUCCUUGA